RNAcentral lists this ribosomal RNA (254 nucleotides) under uncultured bacterium. RNAcentral's name for it is "partial 16S ribosomal RNA". It matches the Rfam family "Bacterial small subunit ribosomal RNA", at positions 524 to 775 of the family's 1533-position model. The record is from RNAcentral.
UACGUAGGGUGCAGGCGUUAAUCGGAAUUACUGGGCGUAAAGCGUGCGCAGGCGGUUUGCUAAGACAGGUGUGAAAUCCCCGGGCUUAACCUGGGAACUGCGCUUGUUACUGGCAAGCUGGAGUGUGGCAGAGGGGGGUGGAAUUCCGGCGUGUAGCAGUGAAAUGCGUAGAUAUGCGGAGGAACACCGAUGGCGAAGGCAAUCCCCUGGGCCUGCACUGACGCUCCAUGCACGAAAGCGUGGGGAGCAAACAG